Molecule: transfer RNA, 70 nt
Filed under: Charybdis natator
Lineage: Eukaryota; Metazoa; Arthropoda; Malacostraca; Decapoda; Portunidae
Description: tRNA-Trp
Source: RNAcentral
AGGAUUUUAAGUUAUGUUUAAACUAAAGGCCUUCAAAGCCUAAAAAAAAAGAAAUGUCUUUUAAAUCCUA